GCGAGUGUAGUUCAGUUGGUAGAACGUUUGCUUGCCAAGCAAAAGGUCACGAGUUCGAAUCUCGUUACUCGCUCCA
RNAcentral lists this transfer RNA (76 nucleotides) under Maribacter sp. RNAcentral describes it as "tRNA-Gly". It matches the Rfam family "tRNA". Rfam says of the family: Transfer RNA (tRNA) molecules are approximately 80 nucleotides in length. Their secondary structure includes four short double-helical elements and three loops (D, anti-codon, and T loops). The record is from RNAcentral. Lineage: Bacteria; Pseudomonadati; Bacteroidota; Flavobacteriia; Flavobacteriales; Flavobacteriaceae.